Oncorhynchus tshawytscha (Chinook salmon) is the source of this 1454-nucleotide long non-coding RNA. The record is from Ensembl. NCBI's taxonomy places the organism in Eukaryota, Metazoa, Chordata, Actinopteri, Salmoniformes, Salmonidae.
UCUGAAAGGAAGAAGCUUCCCCUCUGUCGAGAGCUUCUUCCUGGAUGAGUGGGAGCCACUGACACUCCUGCAGACUCCUCAGGUUCUGUCCACCAGUGUUUCCAUCAAGGAAGACAACCUGAUCCAGUCUGCUGCAGGCCUAGUGUCUCUGGUUCUGUCAUCCAGUGUUCCCAUCGAGGAAGACAACCUGAUCCAGUCUGCUGCAGGCCUAGUGUCUCAGGUUCUGUCCACCAGUGUUGCCAUCAUGGAGAAUGACCUGAUCCAGUCUGCUGCAGGCCUAGUAUCUCAGGUUCUGUCAUCCAGUGUUAUCAUUGUGGAAAAUGACCUGAUCCAGUCUGCUGCAGGCCUUGUGUCUCAGGUUCUGUCCACCAGUGUUAUCAUCGUGGAAAAUGACCUGAUCCAGUCUGCUGCAGGCCUAGUGUCUCAGGUUCUGUCCAGCAGUGACACUAGAGUGAAGGAUCGUAUUGAUUCCACACUGACAGACUCCAACCAACCUGAGGUCCAUGUGGCGGAUGUCUCAACCGAGAGAAGUAAAUUAGUCAUCACUAUUUCUAUGUUUUCAAUAGAGAGUUGCAAUGCUUCGGUCCAUGAAGUUGAUGCUAUUGCUACCAGCCUGGAGCACCCGGCUGAGGAAAUGUCUACCUCUACCGCUGAUGGCCACAUUGUUUCAUCCACUGCUGUUGCCAAUCAGAAGAAAACAAGGGGUGAAUUCGUCUCAUCUCUACGGAGACUGUUCACGAGAAAGAACAGGAAGCCUGCUAAAGUGGCUUCCAAGAAGGAGCACAUUCACUUGGUUGACUGCCUCAAUGCUGAAGUCACCCACUGAGGACACUCGCUCACUGCUGAAAGCAUCCAGAAUGAUGCUUCUGUUUCUCCUCAACGCCACCUACACCCCUGCCCCUCUCCCCCACACCAAACCCUACCAGGGUUGGGUUGAAUUCCAGAUCAAUUCAGUCAAUUCAAGAAGUAAACUGAAAUUCCAAUUCCAAUUGUUUCUCAUAGGAGGCAUUGAGGUAAAUUUGAAUUGCUAUUGGAAUUUCAGUUUACUUUCUGAAUUGACUGAAUUUAAAAUGAAUUGACCCCAAACCUGAUCCCUAAGCCUCCACCCCAUCCAUUUCUAUCUUCGGUAAAUUUUGUCAAAUUUGAUUUGAAUGUGUUUUGUAUCUUCAUUGAAACCACAAUGCAUCUCUAACGAGAGUCACUCAUGUUACACAUCUAGAUUUAUCAUCAAAUGUCGUAGAAUUCAACGACAAAUGCAGUGGUUUAGCAGUUCAACUUCAGUACUUGUCAAUGAGUCACUGCACUGUGACCUUCAGAAACAUGUAACAUUGUGGAAUAACUGAACACGUUUGCUGACAUUCUGUUACAAUGUAACUACACUGAACAAAAAUAUUAACGCAACAUGUAAAGUGUUGGUCCCAUGUUUCAUGAGCUGAAAUAAAAUCCCAUUAUUA